UGUCAUCACUGAUGGACUGAAACCAGAUCGUGAGACAGUGGACGCACCAGAGAAUUAUGAUGAUGUCAUCAUUAAUAGACUGAACUCUCAAGGUGUAACAGAGGGAGUUCAGGAGGAGUAUGAUGAUGUGAU
Long non-coding RNA from Sinocyclocheilus anshuiensis, 132 nucleotides. RefSeq lists it as uncharacterized. The transcript is spliced from 3 exons. The record is from RefSeq and is a predicted model, not a curated record. Lineage: Eukaryota; Metazoa; Chordata; Actinopteri; Cypriniformes; Cyprinidae.